AUACGGAGGGUGCGAGCGUUGUUCGGAAUUAUUGGGCGUAAAGAGCAUGUAGGCGGUCUGUUAAGUCUGGUGUGAAAGCCCGGGGCUCAACCCCGGAAGUGCAUUGGAUACUGGCAGACUUGAGUUUGGGAGAGGAAAGCGGAAUUCCGAGUGUAGGAGUGAAAUCCGUAGAUAUUCGGAGGAACACCAGUGGCGAAGGCGGCUUUCUGGACCAAUACUGACGCUGAGAUGCGAAAGCGUGGGGAGCGAACAGGAUUAGAUACCCCGGUAGUCC
This 274-nucleotide ribosomal RNA is filed under the name uncultured bacterium. RNAcentral's name for it is "partial 16S ribosomal RNA". It matches the Rfam family "Bacterial small subunit ribosomal RNA", at positions 523 to 796 of the family's 1533-position model. The record is from RNAcentral.